UAUCAUAGUGAAACACCGGGUCCCGUACGAACACCGAAGUUAAGCAAUAUCGAUCCCGGUAGGUACCUAGCUGGGGUGACCGCUUUGGAAUGCCAGGUGCUGUAA
Acanthosepion pharaonis is the source of this 105-nucleotide non-coding RNA. The record is from the annotation of a GenBank genome assembly. NCBI's taxonomy places the organism in Eukaryota, Metazoa, Mollusca, Cephalopoda, Sepiida, Sepiidae.